Molecule: ribosomal RNA, 429 nt
Filed under: Bacteroidota bacterium
Lineage: Bacteria; Pseudomonadati; Bacteroidota
Description: Bacteroidetes bacterium partial 16S ribosomal RNA
Rfam family: Bacterial small subunit ribosomal RNA
Source: RNAcentral
UAGGGAAUCUUCCGCAAUGGACGCAAGUCUGACGGAGCAACGCCGCGUGAGUGAAGAAGGAUUUCGGUUCGUAAAACUCUGUUGUUAGAGAAGAACAGCGCAUAGAGUAACUGUUAUGCGUGUGACGGUAUCUAACCAGAAAGCCACGGCUAACUACGUGCCAGCAGCCGCGGUAAUACGUAGGUGGCAAGCGUUGUCCGGAUUUAUUGGGCGUAAAGCGAGCGCAGGCGGUCAAUUAAGUCUGAUGUGAAAGCCCCCGGCUCAACCGGGGAGUGUCAUUGGAAACUGGUUGACUUGAGUGCAGAAGAGGAGAGUGGAAUUCCAUGUGUAGCGGUGAAAUGCGUAGAUAUAUGGAGGAACACCAGUGGCGAAGGCGACUCUCUGGUCUGUAACUGACGCUGAGGCUCGAAAGCGUGGGUAGCAAACAGG